AUGCUUUGGCAGCACAUAUACUAAAAUCAGAACAAUACAGAGAAGAUCAGCAUGGCUUCUGCACAAUGAUGACAUGCACAUUCAUGAAGCAUUCCAUAUUUUU
This is a small nuclear RNA of Jaculus jaculus (lesser Egyptian jerboa), 103 nucleotides long. Lineage: Eukaryota; Metazoa; Chordata; Mammalia; Rodentia; Dipodidae. The record is from Ensembl.